This is a long non-coding RNA of Sebastes umbrosus (honeycomb rockfish), 1183 nucleotides long. RefSeq lists it as uncharacterized. The record is from RefSeq and is a predicted model, not a curated record. The transcript has 2 exons. NCBI's taxonomy places the organism in Eukaryota, Metazoa, Chordata, Actinopteri, Perciformes, Sebastidae.
GCCUUAUUGCCUCCUAUAGGAGAAUAUAUAUAUGUAUAUAUAUCUCUCUACAUAUUUACAUAUACUCCUAUAAUACUCCUAUAUCAUCAUUACCUCCUAUAGGGUACAUAUCUGUAUACAUAUACUCCUAUAGUCAUCAUUACCUCCUAUAGGGUACAUAUCUGUAUACAUAUACUCCUAUAGUCAUCAUUACCUCCUAUAGGUUAUAUAUCUGUAUACAUAUACUCCUAUAGUCAUCAUUACCUCCUAUAGGGUACAUAUCUGUAUACAUAUACUCCUAUAGUCAUCAUUACCUCCUAUAGGUUAUAUAUCUGUAUACAUAUACUCCUAUAGUCAUCAUUACCUCCUAUAGGUUAUAUAUCUGUAUAUAUAUACUCCUAUAAUACUCCUAUAGUCAUCAUUACCUCCUAUAGGGUAUAUAUCUGUAUACAUAUACUCCUAUAGUCAUCAUUACCUCCUAUAGGUUAUAUAUCUGUAUAUAUAUACUCCUAUAAUACUCCUAUAGUCAUCAUUACCUCCUAUAGGGUUUAUAUCUGUAUAUAUAUACUCCUAUAAUACUCCUAUAUUGAAAUACUAAUAUUCCUAAACUACAUAUAGUAGUAUAGUCUAAUGUAUUCUCUGUAGUAUUAUAGUGUGUAUUUGUAUAUAGAGUAUAUAGCGUGUCUAUCUGGAUGUUAUCAGCCUGUAGUGGUGAUUCUGUGAUAGCGUUUCCAUGGCGACGCUCCUGUGUUUGUGUUCCCGUGUUGACCGAAGUUGUUUUAUAUCUACUGUCCACAGUACUUUAUGAUACCACCAUAGUACUACAGUCUUUCUACGCUCAUCUGUGACUAUUACAGUAUAUAUAUAUAUUUCCUUAAAAGUUUAUAGUGAGCAUCGUUAUAUAAUCCUACUUCUACUAGUUAGUGUCUCCGCUGUGUCACGUUGAGACUUCUAUUCAUAUUCCACUGGACGUACUGCAUUUAUACAUCAACAACUUUAAUGAUAUUAUACAACCUGUUUAUUCUACGUACACGGAGCUGGAUGAUCUCACCUACAGUUUAUUACAGACAUCACAUGUUUCAUUUACAGAGUAUUUCAGUACUGACACACAGUGUAUAAUACAUGUACAGUGUAUUUAUUUAAAACAGAAACAAUGAAUUAACAACAAUAAAACUGCUAAUGACAAUAAUUACAACAAAUUAGU